AACCUACGGGGCGCAGCAGUAGGGAAUCUUCCACAAUGGACGAAAGUCUGAUGGAGCAACGCCGCGUGAGUGAAGAAGGGUUUCGGCUCGUAAAGCUCUGUUGGUAGUGAAGAAAGAUAGAGGUAGUAACUGGCCUUUAUUUGACGGUAAUUACUUAGAAAGUCACGGCUAACUACGUGCCAGCAGCCGCGGUAAUACGUAGGUGGCAAGCGUUGUCCGGAUUUAUUGGGCGUAAAGCGAGUGCAGGCGGGUUAAUAAAGUUGAUGUGGAAAGCUUUGGUCUCAACGGGGAAAU
Molecule: ribosomal RNA, 294 nt
Filed under: uncultured bacterium
Lineage: Bacteria
Description: partial 16S ribosomal RNA
Rfam family: Bacterial small subunit ribosomal RNA
Source: RNAcentral